RNAcentral lists this long non-coding RNA (419 nucleotides) under Salmo salar (Atlantic salmon). RNAcentral's name for it is "lncRNA (ENSSSAG00000111632.1, ENSSSAG00000112919.1)". The record is from RNAcentral. Lineage: Eukaryota; Metazoa; Chordata; Actinopteri; Salmoniformes; Salmonidae.
GGUCUAUAGGUGGACUGGUAAACGGUCUAUAGAUGGACUAGUAAACGGUCUAUAGAUGGACUGGUAAACGGUCUAUAGAUGGACUGGUAAACGGUCUAUAGCCUUUGGAUCUAGAGCUCUUUCUGGGGCAGAACAAAACUAUGCCCAAAUAGAAAAAUAAGUCCUGGCAAUAGAGAUCGGACUAGAGGUUUCACCAGUAUGUCUAUGGUUUCCAGGUCUGAGUUCAAUCCGACCACAAACCACUUGAGGCUAUAAUCACCAAGCCCAUUGAAAAGGCGCCUGCACGUCUUCAAAGGAUGCUGCUGCAAAGACAGAAAUAAUACAUUCAUAUCGUCUACACCCCAGGUAAAGACAUGUUAAUAGCAGACACGCUAUCCAGGCCUGUAGCCUAGACUGCCAGACAUGGUGUGACCUCCGUG